GAGUUUGAUCAUGGCUCAGAUUGAACGCUGGCGGCAUGCCUUACACAUGCAAGUCGAACGGCAGCACGGGAGCAAUCCUGGUGGCGAGUGGCGAACGGGUGAGUAAUACAUCGGAACGUGCCCAGUAGUGGGGGAUAGCCCGGCGAAAGCCGGAUUAAUACCGCAUACGACCUACGGGUGAAAGCGGGGGAUCGCAAGACCUCGCGCUAUUGGAGCGGCCGAUGGCAGAUUAGGUUGUUGGUGAGGUAAAAGCUCACCAAGCCGACGAUCUGUAGCUGGUUUGAGAGGACGACCAGCCACACUGGGACUGAGACACGGCCCAGACUCCUACGGGAGGCAGCAGUGGGGAAUUUUGGACAAUGGGCGCAAGCCUGAUCCAGCCAUGCCGCGUGCGGGAAGAAGGCCU
Molecule: ribosomal RNA, 406 nt
Filed under: uncultured bacterium
Lineage: Bacteria
Description: bacterial SSU rRNA
Rfam family: Bacterial small subunit ribosomal RNA
Source: RNAcentral